Molecule: ribosomal RNA, 313 nt
Filed under: Erechtia sp. CPL-2004c
Lineage: Eukaryota; Metazoa; Arthropoda; Insecta; Hemiptera; Membracidae
Description: partial 12S small subunit ribosomal RNA
Source: RNAcentral
CUUGAAUAAAAGUAGUUAAGGUCUCCAUAACUCAAAGAAUUUGGCGGUUAAUGAAAAUUUCAGAGGAACCUGUAUAUAGAUUGAUAAACCACGAUAAUUUAUACUUAUAUUUAAGUUUGUAUACCUCUAUAUAUUAAGAGUGUUUUAAAAGAAUAUUUUCUUUUAGUUGUAUCUGUAAUUUUAGGUCAAGGUGCAGUUUUAUUUAAGUUUAUAUGGGUUACUUUAUUAUUAAAAAUUUUUUAUUUAUGUUUUAUUUAUAUAUUUAUAUUUAGGAUUUGAAAGUAAUUUUAAUAAAUUAAUUAAAAUGAAUUCU